This 370-nucleotide ribosomal RNA is filed under the name uncultured Glomeromycotina. RNAcentral's name for it is "LSU rRNA". Lineage: Eukaryota; Fungi; Glomeromycota. The record is from RNAcentral.
UUGAAAGGGAAACGAUUGAAGUCAGUCGACCUAUGGGUAAUCAGCCUUUUGGGUGUGAUUUUGUGGAGNNNUGAGGAGUUAAACGCCUUCAUGCUNNUAUUCGUGCACUUUGGGUGUACUUGCCCGUAUGGUUGGUUAACAUCAAUUUUGGGGGUCAUAAAAUGACUGGGGGAAUGUAGCUUCGAUCUCGUAUUGAAGUGUUAUAGCCUUCGGAGAUGUGAUGAUCGAGAUUGGGGGAUUGCAACGAUACCCUUCGGGGCUACCUGUCUGAGCUCUGAUCGUUGCUCUGGUGCCGAAAGCUUGCUUACGGUUAUCAAAGUCGAUGGUCAAUAGGUUAGAACGGGUUAAAUUCGUUAAGGAUGUUGACGUA